GCUGAGUGUGGUGGCAUGCACCUGUAGUCCCAGCUACUCCAGAGGCUGAGGCACGAGGAUCACUUGAGCCCAGGAGUUCUGGGCUGUUGUGUGCUGUGCCCAUCAGGCAUCUGCACUAAGUUUGGCAUCAAUAUGGUGACCUCUGGGGAGUGAGGAACCACCAGAUUUCCUGAGGAGUGAACCCACCCAGGUUGGAAAUGGGGCAGGUCAAACCUCCCCUGCUGAUCACUACUGGGGUCUACCCUAUGACUAGCCACUGCACUCCAGUCUGGGCAACACAGUAAGACCCCAUCUCU
Molecule: signal recognition particle RNA, 296 nt
Filed under: Propithecus coquereli (Coquerel's sifaka)
Lineage: Eukaryota; Metazoa; Chordata; Mammalia; Primates; Indriidae
Description: Metazoan signal recognition particle RNA (ENSPCOG00000005176.1)
Rfam family: Metazoan signal recognition particle RNA
About the family: The signal recognition particle (SRP) is a universally conserved ribonucleoprotein. It is involved in the co-translational targeting of proteins to membranes.
Source: RNAcentral